AUUGAACGCUGGCGGCAGGCCUAACACAUGCAAGUCGAGCGGAUGAAGGGAGCUUGCUCCUGGAUUCAGCGGCGGACGGGUGAGUAAUGCCUAGGAAUCUGCCUGGUAGUGGGGGAUAACGUCCGGAAACGGGCGCUAAUACCGCAUACGUCCUGAGGGAGAAAGUGGGGGAUCUUCGGACCUCACGCUAUCAGAUGAGCCUAGGUCGGAUUAGCUAGUUGGUGGGGUAAAGGCCUACCAAGGCGACGAUCCGUAACUGGUCUGAGAGGAUGAUCAGUCACACUGGAACUGAGACACGGUCCAGACUCCUACGGGAGGCAGCAGUGGGGAAUAUUGGACAAUGGGCGAAAGCCUGUUCCAGCCAUGCCGCGUGUGUGAAGAAGGUCUUCGGAUUGUAAAGCACUUUAAGUUGGGAGGAAGGGCAGUAAGUUAAUACCUUGCUGUUUUGACGUUACCAACAGAAUAAGCACCGGCUAACUUCG
Molecule: ribosomal RNA, 482 nt
Filed under: uncultured bacterium
Lineage: Bacteria
Description: partial 16S ribosomal RNA
Rfam family: Bacterial small subunit ribosomal RNA
Source: RNAcentral